CCUACGGGCGGCAGCAGUGGGGAAUAUUGCACAAUGGGCGCAAGCCUGAUGCAGCCAUGCCGCGUGUGUGAAGAAGGCCUUCGGGUUGUAAAGCACUUUCAGCGGGGAGGAAGGCGGUGAGGUUAAUAACCUCAUCGAUUGACGUUACCCGCAGAAGAAGCACCGGCUAACUCCGUGCCAGCAGCCGCGGUAAUACGGAGGGUGCAAGCGUUAAUCGGAAUUACUGGGCGUAAAGCGCACGCAGGCGGUCGGUCAAGUCGGAUGUGAAAUCCCCGGGCUCAACCUGGGAACUGCAUUCGAAACUGGCAGGCUAGAGUCUUGUAGAGGGGGGUAGAAUUCCAGGUGUAGCGGUGAAAUGCGUAGAGAUCUGGAGGAAUACCGGUGCGAAGGCGGCCCCCUGGACAAAGACUGACGCUCAGGUGCGAAAGCGUGGGGAGCAAACAGGAUUAGAUACCCUAGUAGUC
This 464-nucleotide ribosomal RNA is filed under the name uncultured Klebsiella sp. RNAcentral's name for it is "bacterial SSU rRNA". It matches the Rfam family "Bacterial small subunit ribosomal RNA", at positions 338 to 795 of the family's 1533-position model. The record is from RNAcentral. Lineage: Bacteria; Pseudomonadati; Pseudomonadota; Gammaproteobacteria; Enterobacterales; Enterobacteriaceae.